UACGUAGGCAGCGAGCGUUGUUCGGAUUUACUGGGCGUAAAGCGUGCGUAGGCGGUGGUCCAAGUCUGGUGUGAAAUCUCCCGGCUUAACUGGGAGGGUGCGCCGGAAACUGGGCCGCUGGAGUACGGGAGAGGCAAGCGGAAUUCCAGGUGUAGCGGUGAAAUGCGUAGAUAUCUGGAGGAACACCCGUGGUGCAGACGGCUUGCUGGACCGUGACUGACGCUGAGGCACGAAAGCGUGGGUAGCAAACAGG
RNAcentral lists this ribosomal RNA (253 nucleotides) under uncultured bacterium. RNAcentral's name for it is "partial 16S ribosomal RNA". It matches the Rfam family "Bacterial small subunit ribosomal RNA", at positions 524 to 776 of the family's 1533-position model. The record is from RNAcentral.